Molecule: ribosomal RNA, 435 nt
Filed under: uncultured bacterium
Lineage: Bacteria
Description: bacterial SSU rRNA
Rfam family: Bacterial small subunit ribosomal RNA
Source: RNAcentral
UGACGUGUUAGCUUAAGUCCCGCAACAACCGCAACCCUUGUCCUCUGUUACCAGCGGGUCAUGCCGGGCACUCUAAGAAAACUCCCGUGGUCAACACGGAGGAAGGUGGGGACAACGUCAAGUCAGCAUGGCGGUUACGUCCAGGCCGUCACACAUGCUACAAUGGGUGGUACAAAGGGCAGCCAACGCGCGAGCGGGAGCGAAUCCCAAAAAACCACCCUCAGUUGGGAUCGCAGUCUGCAACUCGACUGCGUGAACGCGGAAUCGCUAGUAACGGCGGGUCAGCCAUACCGCCGUGAAUACGUUCCCGGGCCUUGUACACACCGCCCGUCAAGUCACCCGAGUCGGCUGCACCCGAAGUCGGUCGCCUAACCCGCAAGGGAGGGAGCCGCCGAAGGUGUGGCUGGUAAGGGGGACUAAGUCGUAACAAGGUAA